RNAcentral lists this unclassified non-coding RNA (217 nucleotides) under Hevea brasiliensis (rubber tree). The record is from RNAcentral. Lineage: Eukaryota; Viridiplantae; Streptophyta; Magnoliopsida; Malpighiales; Euphorbiaceae.
GAUUGAAACCAGUGGUAAUCCAGCCAUCCACUUCAACACACACCCAAAUAUCAAUAAGGAGUUGUUUUCUAAUGAAAAUAUUCUAGGCCUCAAAGAACCUAGUAGGCCUUUUCCUGCUAAUCAAUCUGGUGAUGGAGUUAGUCUCUUGAGAUGGAGAAUGCAAAGUGCAGAUGAGUCGAUUUUACCUUUAACUAUUAACUGCUGGCCUUCAGUUUCU